RNAcentral lists this ribosomal RNA (465 nucleotides) under uncultured bacterium. RNAcentral's name for it is "partial 16S ribosomal RNA". It matches the Rfam family "Bacterial small subunit ribosomal RNA", at positions 28 to 507 of the family's 1533-position model. The record is from RNAcentral.
GACGAACGCUGGCGGCGUGCUUAACACAUGCAAGUCGAACGGAAAGGCCCUGCUUGCAGGGUACUCGAGUGGCGAACGGGUGAGUAACACGUGGGUGAUUUGCCCUGCACUUCGGGUUAAGCCUGGGAAACUGGGUCUAUUACCCGUUAGUCGCCAUUUUUAGUGUGGUGGUUGGACAGUUUUUGCGCUGUAGGAUGAGCUGGUGGCCUAUAAGCUUGUUGGUGGGGUAAUGGCCUACCAAGGCGGCGAUCGGUAGCCGGCCUGAGAGGGUGGUCGGCCACACAGGGUCCGAGGUAAGGCCGAGGUUGCUAAGGGAGGCAGAAGGGGGGAAUACUGAACAAUGGGUGCAAGGCUGGUGCAGCAACGCCGCGGGGGGGAUGACGGCCUUAGGGUUGAAAAAGCGCUUUGCGAGGGACGAAGCUUGUUGUGACGGUACCUAGAUAAUAAGCACCGGCUAACUACGUG